RNAcentral lists this unclassified non-coding RNA (336 nucleotides) under soil metagenome. RNAcentral's name for it is "partial contains 5.8S ribosomal RNA, internal transcribed spacer 2, and large subunit ribosomal RNA". The stretch from base 1 to 120 matches the Rfam family "5.8S ribosomal RNA", at positions 35 to 154 of the family's 154-position model. The record is from RNAcentral.
GAUGAAGAACGCAGCGAAAUGCGAUAAGUAAUGUGAAUUGCAGAAUUCAGUGAAUCAUCGAAUCUUUGAACGCACAUUGCGCCCGCCAGUAUUCUGGCGGGCAUGCCUGUUCGAGCGUCAUUUCAACCAUCAAGCCCCCGGCUUGUGUUGGGGACCUGCGGCUGCCGCAGGCCCUGAAAAGCAGUGGCGGGCUCGCUGUCACACCGAGCGUAGUAGAUUUCAUCUCGCUCAGGGCGUGCUGCGGGUUCCGGCCGUUAAACCAGCUUCAUAACCCAAGGUUGACCUCGGAUCAGGUAGGAAGACCCGCUGAACUUAAGCAUAUCAAUAAGCGGAGGA